Non-coding RNA from Biomphalaria pfeifferi, 216 nucleotides. The record is from the annotation of a GenBank genome assembly. NCBI's taxonomy places the organism in Eukaryota, Metazoa, Mollusca, Gastropoda, Planorbidae.
UGUUACAAUCCCUUCUGAAUUACCUGAAAUAUGCAAAUAAACUUUUUAAAAUAGCUGUCAAAAAAAAGCAGCAACAUAUAACAAAGAUUUUUUUUCUCUUCCUCUCAAACAAACUAUAUCUCCAUCAUUCUUAUUAAUUUUACGUAUGUCAUUUUUUUUUUCUGUUACAGACAAAUAAUUCUAUGCACAAAUACCAUUUCCGGAUAAUUCUUUAUG